RNAcentral lists this ribosomal RNA (501 nucleotides) under Bifidobacterium breve. RNAcentral describes it as "bacterial SSU rRNA". It matches the Rfam family "Bacterial small subunit ribosomal RNA", at positions 187 to 698 of the family's 1533-position model. Lineage: Bacteria; Bacillati; Actinomycetota; Actinomycetes; Bifidobacteriales; Bifidobacteriaceae. The record is from RNAcentral.
CGCAUGGUGUGUUGGGAAAGCCUUUGCGGCAUGGGAUGGGGUCGCGUCCUAUCAGCUUGAUGGCGGGGUAACGGCCCACCAUGGCUUCGACGGGUAGCCGGCCUGAGAGGGCGACCGGCCACAUUGGGACUGAGAUACGGCCCAGACUCCUACGGGAGGCAGCAGUGGGGAAUAUUGCACAAUGGGCGCAAGCCUGAUGCAGCGACGCCGCGUGAGGGAUGGAGGCCUUCGGGUUGUAAACCUCUUUUGUUAGGGAGCAAGGCAUUUUGUGUUGAGUGUACCUUUCGAAUAAGCACCGGCUAACUACGUGCCAGCAGCCGCGGUAAUACGUAGGGUGCAAGCGUUAUCCGGAAUUAUUGGGCGUAAAGGGCUCGUAGGCGGUUCGUCGCGUCCGGUGUGAAAGUCCAUCGCUUAACGGUGGAUCCGCGCCGGGUACGGGCGGGCUUGAGUGCGGUAGGGGAGACUGGAAUUCCCGGUGUAACGGUGGAAUGUGUAGAUAUC